CCUGUAGCUCAGUUGGAUAGAGCAACGGCCUUCUAAGCCGUGGGUCGGGGGUUCGAAUCCCUCCAGGC
RNAcentral lists this transfer RNA (68 nucleotides) under bovine gut metagenome. It matches the Rfam family "tRNA". Rfam says of the family: Transfer RNA (tRNA) molecules are approximately 80 nucleotides in length. Their secondary structure includes four short double-helical elements and three loops (D, anti-codon, and T loops). Further hydrogen bonds mediate the characteristic L-shaped molecular structure. tRNAs have two regions of fundamental functional importance: the anti-codon, which is responsible for specific mRNA codon recognition, and the 3' end, to which the tRNAs corresponding amino acid is attached (by aminoacyl-tRNA synthetases). tRNAs cope with the degeneracy of the genetic code in two manners: having more than one tRNA (with a specific anti-codon) for a particular amino acid; and 'wobble' base-pairing, i.e. permitting non-standard base-pairing at the 3rd anti-codon position. The record is from RNAcentral.